RNAcentral lists this small RNA (77 nucleotides) under Arabidopsis thaliana (thale cress). RNAcentral describes it as "ATSL198350". The record is from RNAcentral. Lineage: Eukaryota; Viridiplantae; Streptophyta; Magnoliopsida; Brassicales; Brassicaceae.
GCUUUGUUAGUGUUUGGGAGUCAAAUAUGACUAGAUGUCAUGUGGAUGAUUGAGUAUAAGAACUAGAACCGCAAUUG